RNAcentral lists this ribosomal RNA (460 nucleotides) under uncultured bacterium. RNAcentral describes it as "partial 16S ribosomal RNA". It matches the Rfam family "Bacterial small subunit ribosomal RNA", at positions 338 to 795 of the family's 1533-position model. The record is from RNAcentral.
CCUACGGGAGGCUGCAGUGAGGAAUAUUGGUCAAUGGGCGCGAGCCUGAACCAGCCAAGUAGCGUGAAGGAUGACUGCCCUACGGGUUGUAAACUUCUUUUAUAAAGGAAUAAAGUGAGGCACGUGUGCCUUUUUGUAUGUACCUUAUGAAUAAGGAUCGGCUAACUCCGUGCCAGCAGCCGCGGUAAUACGGAGGAUCCGAGCGUUAUCCGGAAUUAUUGGGUUUAAAGGGUGCGUAGGUGGGGUGGUAAGUCAGUUGUGAAAGUUUGGGGCUCCACCGUAAAAUUGCAAUUGAUACUGGCAGCCUUGAGUACAGUUGAGGUAGGCGGAAUUCGUGGUGUAGCGGUGAAAUGCUUAGAUAUCACGAAGAACUCCGAUUGCGAAGGCAGCUUACUAGACUGCAACUGACAUUGAUGCUCGAAAGUGUGGGUAUCAAACAGGAUUAGAUACCCCUGUAGUC